AAGUGAAGGCCCCCCACAGUGGGAUCUACUUGCAAAAAAACCCUCAGGCAGCUUUGUGUACAAUUGUGCUGUGAUGGGAUGCUGAAGAGUUGGAUUAUGGGUUCACCAUGUGAGCUAUGAUGGUGCAUCAUGCUAGGGGGAUGUACAAGAUUUGUUUAUCUCCAACACAGGUGUCUUUCUAAUGGUAAUUCCCCCUUAUUUCUUUUUUUCAUAUCUUUUCCCUUUUG
Molecule: unclassified non-coding RNA, 227 nt
Filed under: Hevea brasiliensis (rubber tree)
Lineage: Eukaryota; Viridiplantae; Streptophyta; Magnoliopsida; Malpighiales; Euphorbiaceae
Source: RNAcentral